AUUGAACGCUAGCGGGAUGCCUUACACAUGCAAGUCGAACGGCAGCACGGACUUCGGUCUCGUGGCGAGUGGCGAACGGGUGAGUAAUGUAUCGGAACGUGCCCAGUAGCGGGGGAUAACUACGCGAAAGCGUAGCUAAUACCGCAUACGCCCUACGGGGGAAAGCAGGGGAUCGCAAGACCUUGCACUAUUGGAGCGGCCGAUAUCGGAUUAGCUAGUUGGUGGGGUAACGGCUCACCAAGGCGACGAUCCGUAGCUGGUUUGAGAGGACGACCAGCCACACUGGGACUGAGACACGGCCCAGACUCCUACGGGAGGCAGCAGUGGGGAAUUUUGGACAAUGGGGGAAACCCUGAUCCAGCCAUCCCGCGUGUGCGAUGAAGGCCUUCGGGUUGUAAAGCACUUUUGGCAGGAAAGAAACGUCGCGGGUUAAUACCUCGCGAAACUGACGGUACCUGCAGAAUAAGCACCGGCUAACUACGUG
RNAcentral lists this ribosomal RNA (484 nucleotides) under uncultured bacterium. Its description in RNAcentral is "partial 16S ribosomal RNA". It matches the Rfam family "Bacterial small subunit ribosomal RNA", at positions 30 to 507 of the family's 1533-position model. The record is from RNAcentral.